CGUUGAAAAACCUCUUUUCCUCCACCGUCCUCAUUUUCUGAAGUAAACCCCCUCUUCUUCCUCGUCUGACCAUGGUUCUUCAUCUUGAUUGAUUCAUAUUUGAUGUCAAAAAUGUAUCAGAUUGAACAGUAGGCCUAUCUCUUUGACACAUUGCUGACGGGGUAAUGUAAUGAUGAGAAAAGCAAGGUGAAACUCCCCUAUCCCAUGCAGCCAUAGAAGAGUGCUUUGCCUCUGUGGAAUAUCUUCUUCAAAUGGGUGCCAAUCCUGAAACUCUAGAUGAAUCAAAUUUGUCGUCCUUUGGACCAUGCCGCUAUGAAAGGCAGGGCAUAAAGAUGCCAUACUCUUGUUGCUUUCAAAAGGUACUGAUGUGGAUGUUACUAGUGAUUUUGGCUCACCGCUACAUUAUGCUGCCACCUGUCCAACACGAUCCUUCUGGAUCAUGGUGCCAAUAUGAGUACCAUUUUACCGUUUCUUCACGAACAGAUUCAGCUACCUGUUUAGCAAAUUCUCAAGUGACUCUAAAUGCCUAAUUUGGCCUUCCAUGGUACAGUUACUCCACUUCAGGGAUCUAUCGGUUCUCAAUCUUGGCAGUGCGCUGAGCAUUCACUGAAGCACAGUCUACAGCGAAUAGAAGUUGCAGCUGUUAACUGUAAUCGUUGAGGCGUUGAUUUUCUUUUUCCUGUGACUUCUCGUAUUUCAUCAUAUGUUGACUGGAGCAUAAGUGGAAUGACGAAGCAUGCAAAUUCUAAAACAUUUGAAGAAGAUGAUUCGUAAAGCAAAGGAGAAUUUUCUUGAGGCAAACUGGAGGAAGGAGUAUUUGCUGGAAGUGUAUUGGUACUCAGAGAGGCUCGACGUGCAGCAGACGCCUUUUUUGAUGGUUUGAAAGCAGAUUUUAAAAAUAAAGAGCUUGAAGAUUCAUUCAGCUGAAAGAUAAUGGUUUUGGCGUGUAGACCCACAUCUAACAUGGGUCCAAAAAGCAAGUGGGACUUUGAGUUUGCUAAGGACGGCCUAAAUAAGUGAUUACCCAUCUUAGUGCCUCAUCAUUGUUGGCUCCAUAACAGGUAACACAAACACAUUGGCUGGUAAUGUACCUCCAAAAGCCAUCCUAUAGGAGAUCUUUGUGGACUUGCAGGAGGCCUGAACGGGAUGAACAGCUAAACCAAUGGUGUUAUUAUCUGGUAAAAGGCUUGCACAGGUGGUAAGUGAUCCAAGGCUAACCAAGAUGGAAUAAGGAUUUAGCUUCUUUUGAGAACCAGUUAUCACAAGAGGCUAGCGUGGGAGAUUAGUGAGAAGCUUGUUGGGUUAGCUUGAAGAGCAGCUUAGGAACUGGUAAGGGAGGCAAGACCUGCAGAACAUCCUUAGGUCUUGACGAGUGUGCACUGUUGUCCGCUUAAACAGAUAGUAUAGGUGAGUAAUAAUAAGUUCCCUCUUGUAAAACUUGAAAAGUUUGCACUUUGCACUAAAAGGAGCAAUGGAGCAACUGUUCAACAAAUAUCCAGUAUCAUGGCGAUUUUCAAAUCUUAUUACAGAGAAUAUACAGUCAUGCUUGUUUCAAGACGUGUAUCAGAGAUGAAAUGUGAUAUGGGAAUGAAUAGCUCAGAAGCUGCACUUCUCAGUCCAAUGUUGGAGAUCAAACUUGUAGUAUUACAUCGCGUAGAAAUCUCCAAUACGUGGGGCAAGAGUAACUGUUCAAGUUCAUACAGUUUUUGGCUUUGUCCACCUUCCAGUCAUGUCAAAACAUUUUCUCCACCAAAACAAUGG
Long non-coding RNA from Papaver somniferum (opium poppy), 1761 nucleotides. RefSeq lists it as uncharacterized. Lineage: Eukaryota; Viridiplantae; Streptophyta; Magnoliopsida; Ranunculales; Papaveraceae. The transcript has 11 exons. The record is from RefSeq and is a predicted model, not a curated record.